Molecule: ribosomal RNA, 164 nt
Filed under: Hordeum comosum
Lineage: Eukaryota; Viridiplantae; Streptophyta; Magnoliopsida; Poales; Poaceae
Description: 5.8S ribosomal RNA
Rfam family: 5.8S ribosomal RNA
About the family: 5.8S ribosomal RNA (5.8S rRNA) is a component of the large subunit of the eukaryotic ribosome.
Source: RNAcentral
CACAUGACUCUCGGCAACGGAUAUCUCGGCUCUCGCAUCGAUGAAGAACGUAGCGAAAUGCGAUACCUGGUGUGAAUUGCAGAAUCCCGCGAACCAUCGAGUCUUUGAACGCAAGUUGCGCCCGAGGCCUUCUGGCUGAGGGCACGUCUGCCUGGGCAUCACGC